CAGCUUACCAUGCAGUCCAGCGGUAGGACAAGGGGAGCUUGCUCCCUGGGUGACGAGCGGCGGACGGGUGAGUAAUGUCUGGGAAACUGCCUGAUGGAGGGGGAUAACUACUGGAAACGGUAGCUAAUACCGCAUAACGUCGCAAGACCAAAGAGGGGGACCUUCGGGCCUCUUGCCAUCAGAUGUGCCCAGAUGGGAUUAGCUAGUAGGUGGGGUAAUGGCUCACCUAGGCGACGAUCCCUAGCUGGUCUGAGAGGAUGACCAGCCACACUGGAACUGAGACACGGUCCAGACUCCUACGGGAGGCAGCAGUGGGGAAUAUUGCACAAUGGGCGCAAGCCUUAAUCCAGCAUAUCCCGCGAUGUGAGGAAGAAAGCCUUUCGGGUUGAAAAAGAACUUCUCAGCAAGGAGGAAAGGGGGUGAAGAGUAAUACGGUUCAUCAAUUGACGUUACUCGCAGAAGAAGCACCGGCUAACUCCGUGCCAGCAGCCCCCGGUAAUACGAGGGUGCAAGCGUUAAUUGGAAUUACUGGGCGUAAAGCGUACGCAGGGCGGUUUUUUAAGUCAGAUGUGAAAUCCCCGGGCUCAAUCCUGGGAACUGCAUUGAAACUGGCAAGCUAGAGUCUCGUAGAAGGGGGGUAGAAUUCCAGGUGUAGCGGUGAAAUGCGUAGAGAUCUGGAGGAAUACCGGUGGCGAAGGCGGCCCCCUGGACGAAGACUGACGCUCAGGUGCGAAAGCGUGGGGAGCAAACAGGAUUAGAUACCCUGGUAGUCCACGCUGUAAAACGAUGUCGAUUUGGAGGUUGUGCCCUUGAGGCGUGGCUUCCGGAGCUAACGCGUUAAAUCGACCGCCUGGGGAGUACGGCCGCAAGGUUAAAACUCAAAUGAAUUGACGGGGGCCCGCACAAGCGGUGGAGCAUGUGGUUUAAUUCGAUGCAACGCGAAGAACCUUACCUACUCUUGACAUCCAGAGAACUUAGCAGAGAUGCUUUGGUGCCUUCGGGAACUCUGAGACAGGUGCUGCAUGGCUGUCGUCAGCUCGUGUUGUGAAAUGUUGGGUUAAGUCCCGCAACGAGCGCAACCCUUAUCCUUUGUUGCCAGCGGUUCGGCCGGGAACUCAAAGGAGACUGCCAGUGAUAAACUGGAGGAAGGUGGGGAUGACGUCAAGUCAUCAUGGCCCUUACGAGUAGGGCUACACACGUGCUACAAUGGCGUAUACAAAGAGAAGCGACCUCGCGAGAGCAAGCGGACCUCAUAAAGUACGUCGUAGUCCGGAUUGGAGUCUGCAACUCGACUCCAUGAAGUCGGAAUCGCUAGUAAUCGUAGAUCAGAAUGCUACGGUGAAUACGUUCCCGGGCCUUGUACACACCGCCCGUCACACCAUGGGAGUGGGUUGCAAAAGAAGUAGGUA
Molecule: ribosomal RNA, 1409 nt
Filed under: Serratia marcescens
Lineage: Bacteria; Pseudomonadati; Pseudomonadota; Gammaproteobacteria; Enterobacterales; Yersiniaceae
Description: bacterial SSU rRNA
Rfam family: Bacterial small subunit ribosomal RNA
Source: RNAcentral